Molecule: long non-coding RNA, 204 nt
Filed under: Elaeis guineensis (African oil palm)
Lineage: Eukaryota; Viridiplantae; Streptophyta; Magnoliopsida; Arecales; Arecaceae
Description: long non-coding RNA (EGUI_LNC070808)
Source: RNAcentral
ACUACCACGAUUUGCUGGGAUUGCUGUAGAACUUUAAGAAAGAUCACCAACUCCACAAAGAGUUGGUGAAUAUAGUGGGAGGGUCUUCUUCUGGAUGUCGAUCCUUUAAGAAAGAAAAGAAAAAUAAGAAGAACAAGAAAAGGGUGCAAAGUGCUAGGGCACCCAAGUCCAGUUAGACCAAAAAACCCAAGUCCGAUCAGAGUC